Corapipo altera (White-ruffed manakin) is the source of this 308-nucleotide long non-coding RNA. RefSeq lists it as uncharacterized. The record is from RefSeq and is a predicted model, not a curated record. The transcript has 3 exons. NCBI's taxonomy places the organism in Eukaryota, Metazoa, Chordata, Aves, Passeriformes, Pipridae.
UAUGGGACAACUACCAUCUUCUGGAACAUGACACAAAGACACAUCAACGCUAAACGAAAUGCUUGUGUGAACCAACAAAGUUUAAGGUUUGAAAUACAGAGUGAACUGAAAUUCUUCAGCGAUGAUUCACUCCCCUACGGUGUCUUGCUUUUUUCUGCUUUAGGAAGGACUCCAAGACAAUUGGAUUCACCACAUAGCAGACUUCUCAGGGACAGAAUUAUUACUAACAAAAUGAACAGAGCACAAGAAGAGGAAAGCCAAGGCACUCAAUUCAUUUGUAAAAUGGUAAAGGAUGAUUGAUACUGUAG